UAUCUAUUAUAGUAUUAUAGUAUAUAAGUAUAUAUUACUUAUUGUUAGGGUACAUGAAAUAAAUGUACCAUGUUUUCGGAGUUACAUUAGCUUAAACAUCCAACCCAACCCACAACAAAACCUUUGUUUCGCUUUUAUUUUCAAAUAUUCGUUUCAAAAUCCUAAAUUUUGUUUUACCACUGUUUAUAGAUGAAAUAAAUCCUAGCUAACCAUUAAGGAGAUAUUAUAAUGGUAUUAAACAUUUUCAACUUCAUUUAGUUAUAAUUAGAUUUUUGGCCAGAUAUUCAUAUUCCUAACCAAAUGGGGUUGUAAGCUGUUCUUGAGGAUUAGAGUGUUCCGUAUGUGAAAUUUGCUGACCCAAAUCGUAUUGGUUAUGGAAUUAUGAAUGAUUUAAGUUUAUGGCUGGGAUUUAUGGAUAACUUCACACCAGGGUUUGGCACUACUUUGAAUUUGACAUUUAGUCAAUCUUGACAUUUAUGACAUUUGUCAAUACUAGCAACUUAAUAUUCAUAUAGAUUUAUUUUUAUCAUAAAACAUUUUUUCAAUCACUUUUUCGGAAUCUUUUUGGAACGUUUAAUAUGUUAGUUUUUAAUUUAAUAGGUUCCAGGUCUUGAAGGAAUUCAUCAUCGCACAAAUUUUUUAGUUGGAAGUAUAAAAUCUCAAUGGAAUAAAAUCAAAUCGUGGAUUUUAGUAGAUACGGAAACGUUUCCGGAAAAAAAUCAUCGAUUCACUGCCGUUUACAGUCGUGAUAGAGAAUAUUUAUUUGAUGUUGAUUCUCCGUGUUUUUUUACACCCGCCGUUCAUUCUCGAGUUAUCCAAUUUAUCCUCGAUCGCAAAAGAUUUACGAAUAAAGAAGAUGAUGAUUUUGCUUUUGGAAUUGAACGAUUAUUAACUGAUAAGAUUUAUACGGCUGCUUAUCCACUUCAUGAUGGUGAUUUAAAUGAUCGUGGUACAAUGAGACAUCUUUUAUACGAAGAGUGGACAUCUCUUAGAAAAUGGUACAAAUAUCAACCUUUAGAUUAUGUGAAAGAAUAUUUUGGUGUUAAAAUAGCUCUCUAUUUUGCUUGGUUGGGAUUUUACACUCAUAUGUUGUUGCCAGCUUCAAUUGUGGGCUUAGCUUGUUUUAUUUAUUCCUGGUUAACUCUUUAUAGUCACCAACCAAGGUUUGUUAUUAUUUUGUA
Non-coding RNA from Onthophagus taurus, 1181 nucleotides. The record is from RefSeq and is a predicted model, not a curated record. NCBI's taxonomy places the organism in Eukaryota, Metazoa, Arthropoda, Insecta, Coleoptera, Scarabaeidae.